AGGAACGAUCGGAGGGCAAGUCUGGUGCCAGCAGCCGCGGUAAUUCCAGCUCCAAUAGCGUACGUUAAAAGUUGCUGCAGUUAAAAAGCUCGUAGUUGAACGUUCGGGUUCCGCGGACGGGGCCGCCCCGCGAGGGACGGCGCCGCCCCGGGGCUCGUGAUAUCUUAUCUCGCCGCCCGUCGCGAGGCGGACGGAGGGAUGGAUGAGGUUACCUGGAAAAAAUCGGGGCGAUCUAGGCGGGCGAACCUCGCCAACGAACGAUCGGACAUGGGAUAACGGAAGAGGGCGUCGGCUCGACUUCGUCGGUUCCUCGGGCCGAGGCACCACGGUGAAUAGGGACGGUCGGGGCCGCCCGUACCGGGUCGUGAGAGGUGAAAUUCUAGGAUCGACCCGAGACGAACUGCCGCGAAAGCAUUCGGCAAGGACGCUUUCAUUAAUCAAGAACGAAAGUCGGGGG
This 457-nucleotide ribosomal RNA is filed under the name uncultured eukaryote. RNAcentral describes it as "bacterial SSU rRNA". It matches the Rfam family "Eukaryotic small subunit ribosomal RNA", at positions 540 to 996 of the family's 1831-position model. The record is from RNAcentral.